Long non-coding RNA from Paramormyrops kingsleyae, 1434 nucleotides. RefSeq lists it as uncharacterized. The record is from RefSeq and is a predicted model, not a curated record. Lineage: Eukaryota; Metazoa; Chordata; Actinopteri; Osteoglossiformes; Mormyridae.
AGAGGAUCAGCUUUAAACAGCUGCUCAAAGUAGCCGACUAAGUGAGUCACAACUGCCACAUCAUCCCUAUAGACCGUUCCAUCACCCGUCCUGACUGCGACUCUCUGAGGAACAGAUUUGGAUGUGUGUAAUUCUUCGAUUCCUCUAAGCCUUGAAGCCAUCAUUAUCCGUUCCUGAUUCAGACUGGAGUUGCCAUCAAGCUGCUUGCUGCGACUCCUCUCGAUGAUAUCCAGGGAACUCUGCCGGAUGAAACACCACCUUCUGGGCACACCUGCACCACCAACACAACCCUCAGCAACCUUCAGUGCCCUGUCACAGAGGGUCUCCCACACCACGUUAGAAUCAGCAGUCAUACCCAAGUCUGCAUGUUCCUCACAUAACCUGCAAGCAAACUCACUAGAAUCAGCCUGAUAUUGGACAUUGGACACUAUCAGGGAGAGCCGAUCCACCACAGCAACAGCUACUCCCUGAGUAGGGCAGCCAUCAGAGCAACCAAAUCAACAAUUGGUAUCCCACCUACCGAGAUCUGGCCAAUCUCUGGCCUGCGUACCUCAGAGAGUUCCGCCACCGAAACGCAGAGUUUACGAAGCUCCCCCAACAGCAGAGGAAGAUGGUCAUAUGGACCAGAAAGACAAGACGUUCCGCGUACUUACCCGGAUGGGCUACAUCAGAUUGGGACCCAAGUGUAUCUGUGCAGCAGACGACGCCUCAACACAACUCCAAUUCCAAUCCCCCAACCGGAUGAACCGGAUGAAGUUUGACGUCAUACCCAGGACGGUAGUGAACACAUAAAAAACAUCAUGCAUUGUCAUAUAUAAUUGAAAUAAGAAAAAUGCUUCAUAGCCUUAUAUGAACCAUGCUGUUUUUUCAUAUGGCAAGACAGUUUGACAUGCAUAAAAUAGUAGUUUUGCACCAAUAGUAGUUUUGAUUUCCAAAGAGCUAUUAACUGAAAACAUGCUAUAUCUCAGCAUGGUGAUACAGUAGUUAUUCUUUUGUCCUCCACUUGUCCAGUUCCCUGAAUUUUUUCAAGUACAUAUGGACAAGCAUUUUUUACACAGAAAAUGGACUGAAAAACAGUGGCAACAGGUCUUACAGAGCAAUGAAUCCAAAUUUGAAAUUUACGGUUCAUAUCAUCAAUAUAUACGGAGGAGAUCAGGAGAGAGCUGUAACAGUGAGCGUCUAAAGGCAUCAAUAAAACAUGGUGGAGGCUCUGUGAUGGAAUGUUCUUCAAGAAGCCAGGAGAACUAUUCCUGAAGUCGACUUAAAGAAAUGACAAGAAAGCUUGCCUAAGACACUCCAGAGUGUAUUGAAGAAUAAUGGUGGUCAUACCAAACAUUAACUUUAAAGCUCGUUAGAGCUACACAAACUCUUUGUGUUAUAUACUGUAUUUACAUGUAUGUUUGCACAUGUUGCAAUAAAUCACUGUGCCUAUUG